This 782-nucleotide small RNA is filed under the name Pan troglodytes (chimpanzee). RNAcentral describes it as "processed transcript". The record is from RNAcentral. Lineage: Eukaryota; Metazoa; Chordata; Mammalia; Primates; Hominidae.
AGCGCAGCCCAGAAUUAUUUUGCUGGUUCUGCCUUCAAAGAACUUCCAGUCCACAGGUCAGAAAAUUAAUUGUUUUGGAUCCAAAGAAACGGCUGACUACCUUUCAAGCUCUCCAGCAUCCGUGGGUCACAGGUAAAGCAGCCAAUUUUGUACACAUGGAUACCGCUCAAAAGAAGCUCCAAGAAUUCAAUGCCCGGCGUAAGCUUAAGGCAGCGGUGAAGGCUGUGGUGGCCUCUUCCCGCCUGGGAAGUGCCAGCAGCAGCCAUGGCAGCAUCCAGGAGAGCCACAAGGCUAGCCGAGACCCUUCUCCAAUCCAAGACGGCAACGAGGACAUGAAAGCUAUUCCAGAAGGAGAGAAAAUUCAAGGCAAUGGGGCCCAAGCCGCAGUUAAGGGGGCACAGGCUGAGCUGAUGAAGGUGCAAGCCUUAGAGAAAGUUAAAGGUGCAGAUAUAAAUGCUGAAGAGGCCCCCAAAAUGGUGCCCAAGGCAGUGGAGGAUGGGAUAAAGGUGGCUGACCUGGAACUAGAGGAGGGCCUAGCAGAGGAGAAGCUGAAGACUGUGGAGGAGGCAGCAGCUCCCAGAGAAGGGCAAGGAAGCUCUGCUGUGGGCUUUGAAGUUCCACAGCAAGAUGUGAUCCUGCCAGAGUACUAAACAGCUUCCUUCAGAUCUGGAAGCCAAACACCGGCAUUUUAUGUACUUUGUCCUUCAGCAAGAAAGGUGUGGAAGCAUGAUAUGUACUAUAGUGAUUCUGUUUUUGAGGUGCAAAAAACAUACAUAUAUACC